UACGUAGGGGGCUAGCGUUGUCCGGAAUCAUUGGGCGUAAAGCGCGUGUAGGCGGUUCGGUAAGUCCGCUGUGAAAGUCGGGGGCUCAACCCUCGGAUGCCGGUGGAUACUGUCGAGCUUGAGUACGGAAGAGGCGAGUGGAAUUCCUGGUGUAGCGGUGAAAUGCGCAGAUAUCAGGAGGAACACCGAUGGCGAAGGCAGGUCUCUGGGCCGAUACUGACGCUGAGGAGCGAAAGCGUGGGGAGCGAACAGG
Molecule: ribosomal RNA, 253 nt
Filed under: uncultured bacterium
Lineage: Bacteria
Description: partial 16S ribosomal RNA
Rfam family: Bacterial small subunit ribosomal RNA
Source: RNAcentral